This 466-nucleotide ribosomal RNA is filed under the name uncultured bacterium. RNAcentral describes it as "partial 16S ribosomal RNA". It matches the Rfam family "Bacterial small subunit ribosomal RNA", at positions 355 to 831 of the family's 1533-position model. The record is from RNAcentral.
UGGGGAAUAUUGCACAAUGGGCGAAAGCCUGAUGCAGCGACGCCGCGUGAGGGAUGACGGCCUUCGGGUUGUAAACCUCUUUCAGCAGGGAAGAAGCGAAAGUGACGGUACCUGCAGAAGAAGCGCCGGCUAACUACGUGCCAGCAGCCGCGGUAAUACGUAGGGCGCAAGCGUUGUCCGGAAUUAUUGGGCGUAAAGAGCUCGUAGGCGGUUAGUCGCGUCUGCUGUGAAAACUCGAGGCUCAACCUCGGGCUUGCAGUGGGUACGGGCUGACUAGAGUGCAGUAGGGGUGACUGGAAUUCCUGGUGUAGCGGUGGAAUGCGCAGAUAUCAGGAGGAACACCGAUGGCGAAGGCAGGUCACUGGGCCGCAACUGACGCUGAGGAGCGGAAAGCAUGGGGAGCGAACAGGAUUAGAGUACCCUGGUAGUCCAUGCCGUAAACGUUGGGCACUAGGUGUGGGGUCCA